GACGAACGCUGGCGGCGUGCUUAACACAUGCAAGUCGAGCGGUAAGGCCCUUUCGGGGGUACACGAGCGGCGAACGGGUGAGUAACACGUGGGUGACCUGCCUUUAGCUCUGGGAUAAGCCUGGGAAACUGGGUCUAAUACCGGAUAUGACUCCAUGAUGCAUGUUGUGGGGUGGAAAGCCUUGUGCGGCUGGAGAUGGGCCCGCGGCCUAUCAGCUUGUUGGUGGGGUGANGGCCUACCAAGGCGACGACGGGUAGCCGGCCUGAGAGGGCGAAACCGGCCACACUGGGACUGAGACACGGCCCAGACUCCUACGGGAGGCAGCAGU
RNAcentral lists this ribosomal RNA (328 nucleotides) under uncultured bacterium. RNAcentral describes it as "bacterial SSU rRNA". It matches the Rfam family "Bacterial small subunit ribosomal RNA", at positions 28 to 355 of the family's 1533-position model. The record is from RNAcentral.